GGAAGGGGUGUAUUUAUUAGAUAAAAAUCAACUUUGUUGGUGAAUCAUAAUAACUUCUCGGACCGCAUGGCCUUGUGCUGGCGGUGCUUCAUUCAAAUAUCUGCCCUAUCAACUGUCGAUGAGAGGAUAGAGGCCUACCAUGGUUGCAACGGGUAACGGGGAAUAAGGGUUCGCCUCAUGAGAGGGAGCCUGAGAAACGGCUACCGUAUCCAACCAAGGCAGCAGCUGCGCAAAUUACCCAAUCCCGACACGGGGAGGUAGUGACAGGAUGUAACAAUAUACGGCCUUAUACGUCGUAUAAUUGGAAUGAGUACAAUUUAAAUGGCUUAACGAGGAACAUAUGGAGGGCAAGUCUGGUGCCGCCAGCCGCGGUAAUUCCAGCUCCAAUAGCGUAUAUUAAAGUUGUUGCAGUUAAAAAGCUCGUAGAAUUACCUUGGACCUGGACAGGCGGUCCGCCAGACGGCGUGUACUGUCUUGCUGGGUCUUUCCUCUUGGUGAUCUGUUGUUUCGGCAGCAGGGAACCAGGACUUUUAC
RNAcentral lists this ribosomal RNA (534 nucleotides) under uncultured Basidiomycota. RNAcentral describes it as "SSU rRNA". It matches the Rfam family "Eukaryotic small subunit ribosomal RNA", at positions 194 to 755 of the family's 1831-position model. The record is from RNAcentral. Lineage: Eukaryota; Fungi; Basidiomycota.